GCAGAUGUGGCCGAGUGGUUAAGGCGAUUGACUAGAAAUCAAUUUCCCUCUGGGAGCGUAGGUUCGAAUCCUACCAUCUGCG
Transfer RNA from Daphnia magna, 82 nucleotides. It matches the Rfam family "tRNA". Rfam says of the family: Transfer RNA (tRNA) molecules are approximately 80 nucleotides in length. Their secondary structure includes four short double-helical elements and three loops (D, anti-codon, and T loops). The record is from Rfam. NCBI's taxonomy places the organism in Eukaryota, Metazoa, Arthropoda, Branchiopoda, Diplostraca, Daphniidae.